GAUGAAGAACGCAGUGAAAUGCGAUAAGUAAUGUGAAUUGCAGAAUUCAGUGAAUCAUCGAAUAUUUGAACGCACAUUGCGCCCCCUGGUAUUCCGGGGGGCAUGCCUGUUCGAGCGUCAUUUCACCACUCAAGCCUCGCUUGGUAUUGGGCAACGCGGUCCGCCGCGUGCCUCAAAUCGACCGGCUGGGUCUUCUGUCCCCUAAGCGUUGUGGAAACUAUUCGCUAAAGGGUGCUCGGGAGGCUACGCCGUAAAACAAACCCAUUUCUAAGGUUGACCUCGGAUCAGGUAGGGAUACCCGCUGAACUUAAGCAUAUCAAUAAGCGGAGGA
RNAcentral lists this unclassified non-coding RNA (331 nucleotides) under soil metagenome. Its description in RNAcentral is "partial contains 5.8S ribosomal RNA, internal transcribed spacer 2, and large subunit ribosomal RNA". The stretch from base 1 to 120 matches the Rfam family "5.8S ribosomal RNA", at positions 35 to 154 of the family's 154-position model. The record is from RNAcentral.